Molecule: non-coding RNA, 85 nt
Filed under: Hylemonella gracilis
Lineage: Bacteria; Pseudomonadati; Pseudomonadota; Betaproteobacteria; Burkholderiales; Comamonadaceae
Also listed under: 1 other name
Description: c-di-GMP sequence
Rfam family: c-di-GMP-I riboswitch aptamer
About the family: GEMM was predicted in a large-scale screen for bacterial structured RNA regulatory elements. Genes associated with GEMM are involved in a diverse array of functions, including chemotaxis regulation, signal transduction, secretion and chitin.
Source: RNAcentral
CAUGAGGCAAGGCACACCUGCGCGAAAGCCAGGGUCGCAAAGCUACCGGUCUACGUCCAGACGACACGACAGCGGGGUUGCCAGA